CCUACGGGAGGCAGCAGUGGGGAAUAUUGGACAAUGGGCGAAAGCCUGAUCCAGCAAUGCCGCGUGAGUGAUGAAGGCCUUAGGGUUGUAAAGCUCUUUUACCAGGGAUGAUAAUGACAGUACCUGGAGAAUAAGCUCCGGCUAACUCCGUGCCAGCAGCCGCGGUAAUACGGAGGGAGCUAGCGUUGUUCGGAAUUACUGGGCGUAAAGCGUACGUAGGCGGUUAUUCAAGUCAGAGGUGAAAGCCUGGAGCUCAACUCCAGAACUGCCUUUGAAACUAGAUAGCUAGAAUCUUGGAGAGGUGAGUGGAAUUCCGAGUGUAGAGGUGAAAUUCGUAGAUAUUCGGAAGAACACCAGUGGCGAAGGCGACUCACUGGACAAGUAUUGACGCUGAGGUACGAAAGCGUGGGGAGCAAACAGGAUUAGAUACCCUGGUAGUCCACGCCGUAAACGAUGAUAACUAGCUGUUCGGGCUCUACGAGCUUGAGUGGCGCAGCUACGCAUUAAGUUAUCCGCCGUCGGGAGGUACGGUCGCGAGAAUUAAACUACAAUAGAAUUAGACGGCGUGAGACGUGCCGACGGACGACGACGAGGGAGGUUAGG
RNAcentral lists this ribosomal RNA (603 nucleotides) under uncultured bacterium. Its description in RNAcentral is "bacterial SSU rRNA". It matches the Rfam family "Bacterial small subunit ribosomal RNA", at positions 338 to 961 of the family's 1533-position model. The record is from RNAcentral.